Molecule: long non-coding RNA, 398 nt
Organism: Myripristis murdjan (pinecone soldierfish)
Lineage: Eukaryota; Metazoa; Chordata; Actinopteri; Holocentriformes; Holocentridae
Exons: 3
Source: RefSeq, a predicted model, not a curated record
UGCAACAGGUCCUUGUUUCUGGAGGGAGCCCUGACCCACACCCACACCAAGAAUCUAUAGUAAAGGUUUAGGGUUAGGAUUAGGGUUUUAAAUCUACCUGUUGUGUUCCAUGUCUUCUUUGGGGCUUCUGCCAGCCUUGUACUUGUGACAAAGAGAGAUUUCACAGCUCUCUCUAGGGAAAAAAUCCUUGGCUGCACAUGACACAAAGAGGUGUCUUCUUCAGCAGCAGCAACAAUGGGCCAGAUGCAGGAGGCGAUAGAAAAUUUCAUGAGCAGUCGAGAGUGCUCUUAGCUAGAUGGGUUGUCCAACACACAAAAAUACACAUUUUGAAGCUGAAGAAGAUUUUAAAAAAUGCAUUAAAUUUGCAGCCCAGAGCUUCGCCGCCUCCAUCUCCUGCC